RNAcentral lists this ribosomal RNA (521 nucleotides) under uncultured bacterium. Its description in RNAcentral is "bacterial SSU rRNA". It matches the Rfam family "Archaeal small subunit ribosomal RNA", at positions 345 to 866 of the family's 1478-position model. The record is from RNAcentral.
AACCUCCGCAAUGUGAGAAAUCGCGACGGGGGGAUCCCAAGUGCCAUUCUUAACGGGAUGGCUUUUCAUUAGUGUAAAGAGCUUUUGGAAUAAGAGCUGGGCAAGACCGGUGCCAGCCGCCGCGGUAACACCGGCAGCUCUAGUGGUAACAAUUUUUAUUGGGCCUAAAGCGUCCGUAGCCGGUUUAAUAAGUCUCUGGUGAAAUCCUGUAGCUUAACUGUGGGAAUUGCUGGAGAUACUAUUAGACUUGAGAUCGGGAGAGGUUAGAGGUACUCCCAGGGUAGAGGUGAAAUUCUGUAAUCCUGGGAGGACCGCCUAUUGCGAAGGCGUCUAACUGGAACGAUCCUGACGGUGAGGGACGAAAGUUAGGGGCGCGAACCGGAUUAGAUACCCGGGUAGUCCUAACUGUAAACGAUGCGGACUUGGUGUUGGGGUGGCUUUGAGCUGCUCCAGUGCCGAAGGGAAGCUGUUAAGUCCGCCGCCUGGGAAGUACGGUCGCAAGACUGAAACUUAAAGGAAUU